UAUCGCUGUAUUCAGAGAUCGAUCAGGGAGGUUUGGUUAUUUUGACUCUCACUGCAGAUCAAUAUAUGGAAUACCUGUUGAAGAAGGUACAGGUACAGCGGUAUUCCUGACGUUUUAUCAAUUACCGGAUCUCGUGGACAGGCUUUUACUGUUGUAUCAAGGGUGUUUUGAUUUGAGAGACCAGGAAGAGUUUGAGCUGCUGCCUGUAUCAUUCAUUAACAUGAUGACUGAAAGCUGUGUAUGUACUGAAGUCUCACUGAACUGCUGUGAUCUUGAACAUGAUGUGCAACCAUCCGUCUCAUUUGAGAACAAAGCUCUGUCAAACAAUGAAAAAUGCAUGUCUGAUGAUGUCCCACAACAGUAUGUUCAAGUCCAAGAUCCACCUCAACAACUCUCUGAGACUGCUGUUAACAGAGCCACAUCAACUGAUGAACAAGCCCACUUGACUGAAGUCUCCCCGAGCUGCUGUGACCUUGAACUUAAUGUGCAAUCAUCAUUCACAUUUGAGAAGAAAGAUCUGUCAAAUGAUGAACAAUGCUCAUCUACUGAUGUCCUACAACAUGUUCAAGUCCAAGAUCCAGUUCAACAACUUUCUGAGACUGCUGUUAACAGAGCCACAUCAACUGAUGAACAAGCCCACUUGAUUUAUCAAGAUAAAAUGGAAGUUCAAACUACUGUCACUCAGAAUCGAGACAAAUGUAAAAAUGUACCAUUGAGUGAACUUUCUCAUAACAUACUGUCACAAGAUCAAUUUGCAUUGUCAGCUCCAAAUCACCAGAAUUCACAAUUCACAGUCAAGCAGACAGAAAAACUGAACAAGACUCAAAAGCGAAGGUCUUACUGUAAAAAAUGGCAUAAAGAAAUGGUUCAGAGACAAGGUGUUUAUGACAAAAAACUGUCUGUACGUAAAGUCUAUAAUUACAAAACAAGUAGUGAAUACAGACACAGACAUAAACAAGCCAUGAAGAAAAGCUAUUGGAAUAAUAUUGCUUAUAGAGAAAAACACAAACAAGCAAUUAAAAACAACUAUAAAAAUAAUAAUGAAUACAGAGAGAGAACAAAAUCUUAUGCGAUUAACAAGUACAGAAAUAAUGAACAGUACAGAGGGGAAAAAAAGAGUAAAAUAACCUUAAAUUACAGGAAUGAUGAACAAUUUAGAGAGAGACAAAAGAAAUAUAUAAUUCAAAAUUACAAGAAUGAUGAACAAUUCAGGGAGAGACAAAAGAAAUAUAUAAUUCGAAAAUACAGGCACAAUGUAAAGUAUAAGGAACCGCAUAAGCAAAAUCUUGUUGACAGAUAUUUAAAAGAUCCAAUUUUUAGGCAAAGACAAAUUGACCAUUAUACAAACCGAUGCAAAAGAGAUCCUAACUUCUAUGAAAAAAGGAAGAACAUUUUUAAACAACACUAUCACUAUGAUGGAUAUUUUAGGGCUCGUCAGAAAGAAUAUUAUUUAUUCAAAUCUAAAAACAAAAUAUAUGAUCUUAAGGUACUUCACAAAGUACAUUGUGCACAAGAGAUACAGUACAAAUACAAAAAAAUGCAUCUGAUGCGCAGGCAAAGAGAAACAUUACAAGAUAGCCAGCCUGACAUAGUACAAAAUCCAGACAUGUUAAGAGCCUUUAAUAUUUUCAGAGAUGUUAUAAAACAGGGGCCAACAUAUGUCUGCACAUGCUGUGCCAGAGCACUCUUCUCAAAUCAAGUGCGCAAUUGUGAAGUGCAUAAAUAUAAACAAAAUCCAACAGUUGCUGCACUUUGCUUGACUAGAAACUAUGUUCACAUCUGCUCUGACUGCCCUGAUCGAUGUGCCUUGGAAGACAUGAAAACAGAAUGGAUUUGUCACAGCUGCCAUACAACACUUUUGAGAGGUCUAAUGCCAGAUAUUGCUGUAGCUAAUAUGCUUCAGUUCACUCCCAUUCCUCCAGAACUGUGUGAUUUGAAUAUUCUAGAAAGACAUGUCAUUGCAAAGUACAUUCCCUUUGCGAAAAUUUUAACACUUCCUAAAGGCCAACAGAGAGCUAUAAAAGGAGCUGUAAUUUCCGUUGCAUCUGAAGUAGAAACAACAGUAAAUUGUUUACCAAGACCAAGAAGUGAAUCACAGCUGCUUACAGUGAAAUUGAAAAGACGUCUGUGCUACCAAGGUCACUAUCAGUUCCAGACUUUGAACAUGCAUAAGGUCUUGUCUGCUUUAAGAAAACUCAAAGAAAUGCAUUCAGAAUAUAAAGAUAUCAUCAUUAAUGCAGCACUCUCAGAAGAAGAAAUGUUCAAUGAGCAUGAACAGUCCACAAAUGACAUCAGUGCUCCUGAUGAGGAAAUGGAUGUUGAGAGCAGCAGUCCAAAUGAGAACACUGAAGAUCAGAGCAAUGAGAAUCAACACAAUGAUUCAAGUGAUGACCCUGAGAAUACUGCAGAAGAGCAAUCAAGAGGCCUUGCUUUGGAUACAUGUCUUCAGCCCCCAGAUCUUGGUCAUCAGCUGCUGUCUUAUGAUGACGGAAUAUUUUGCAUUGCCCCAGCAUCGAAAAAUAGUCCUGUUAGCAUUUUCAAAGUUAAAAAACUUGAAUCAAUGUCGUUCCCGGUUCAGUUCCCUGAUGGGAAAAAUACCUUUGAUGAGCCUGACAGAGAAAAACAUGUUUCCCCCAGCAGAUACUUUAACACAAGACUGUUCUCUGUUGACAAUCGUUGUGCAAGAGACACAAACUACAUCUUCUUUGCUCAGUUUGUCACUGAAAUGCACAUGGCCACAUCUAGUAUGUCUAUCCAGCUGAGAAAAGCAAAACCCAUGACCCGUGAUGGACGCAGAAUAAACUGUUCACUGCUGCAGGACAAACAAGAGUUAGAAAAGCUUGUGAAUAAUAAGGAGGCAACACGUUUCAUGCAACCAUUAAGAGGGACUCCAGCAUACUGGGAGAAAACUAUGCGUGAUUUGUUUGCUAUGCUGAGACAGCUGGGCACUCCCACAUUUUUCUGUACGUUUAGUGCUGCUGAGAUGAGAUGGCCUGAAGUGAUUACUGCUAUUAAAGCACAACAAGGUGAAACUGUGAACUUUGAUGAAUUAGACUGGUCUGAAAAAUGUGAAAUCCUGAGAAGCAACCCAGUCACAGCCAUGCGGAUGUUUGAAAAACGCGUUGAAGCCUUAAUGAGGGAUCUAAUCAUGUCACCUGCUCGGCCUAUCGGUGAAGUAAUUGACUUUUUUUACAGAGUAGAAUUUCAGUUACGUGGAUCUCCACACAUUCACUGCUUAUUUUGGGUGAAAGAUGCUCCAGAG
Molecule: long non-coding RNA, 3262 nt
Organism: Cyprinus carpio (common carp)
Lineage: Eukaryota; Metazoa; Chordata; Actinopteri; Cypriniformes; Cyprinidae
Source: Ensembl